This 1363-nucleotide long non-coding RNA is filed under the name Strigops habroptila (Kakapo). RNAcentral describes it as "lncRNA (ENSSHBG00005015167.1)". Lineage: Eukaryota; Metazoa; Chordata; Aves; Psittaciformes; Psittacidae. The record is from RNAcentral.
AAAGGGCUGUAUUGGUAAUAGAGACAAUGAAAGCGGGAGUCAACACAAAAUGAUACACAGCCUAAUAACAAUACAUUGUGCAAUUAAUGUACAUUAACAUUCCCUUCAGCAAGACCUUCCUCACCUCCCCUUCUCAACAUAAUCCCUGUGUAUUUACCCUGCAGCAGGGAAGCAAGGAGCAUGGUGGCUCAUGCUUGCCUUCUUGAAGGGGGAUUCAGAAUCACAGUUCAGUGCAUCAAAAAUAAAACUAAAAAUAAAAGCAAAUUCAAAUCAGGAGGAGCUGGAGGCAGCUCAGUACAUAAAGUAUUUGUUCCUAAGAGCUGGCCUUCAGGCUAACCGGGGUUUUUUGUAUCCUCAGAGGCCUACACUCACCCUGAUGUACUUCCUGGUCACCUUCCUGUCUGCCAGCCCACAGGAGACCAAAGCCCUGAGCGGAGGACACAACACUUGGCAAAGGAGCCUGGCAGAAGGAGCAGCAUGCUUUGCUGGCAUUGGAACAGUCUCAAGGCAGUUGGAAGUGUCCAAACUCCCAAACUCAAAUUACUAGUUGGUUUAAAAAGCCAACUGAACACAGGCCUAGAAACCACACAGCUGGCGCUUCCUUACUGCCCACUGGGACAGGUUCUUCCGCAUCCCUCAUGGAAGUGCCUUGCCUUUGCCAAAACAAAACUGCCUGUGACAGAACUCUUGUUCUUUGGGGGUAGGGGCCACCAUUUCUUUCAUACAUGUUUUACCAACACUCAGGAGCAGAGGGGUCUCUACAGGCCACCAAGAGGAUGCAUUAACAGCACGGAGUCCCUCAGCUGCUUUGGUAGGCCUGUGUCUGGGCACUAGUAAUCACCACUGUGAAAAGAGCUCUGACCUGUUUCACUUUGGCCAGAGCUUGAGAAGAACUAGCACAGGUCCCCUGCACAGAUUCAGGGCUACCUCUUUGUAAGCUGACCUCCCGAGCUUUGCCUCCUCCAGCUUCCAUGGACUAACAGGCCAUGCCAACUUCUGUGCUGCUCCUUCAGCCAGGGGUGCGGUUCCGCAGUGAUCAAACCUGCAGCUCAUUUUCUCUGGUGCUAGGAGUUGCAGAUGUUAAUUUCAUUUAUACUAAACAGUAGAGAAUUAAUACAUGGUUAUAUGGAGACAAUUUGCUUGGGAAGACAUGGAAGUGCUCCAAGAGAGAGCACAGCCUACUUGUAGGAGAACAAGGAAGGAAGUAGGAAUUGUGUGCUGAGAACGGAGUACAAAACCUCUAACACAUGAUGCUGAGCCUUAGAGGGUGGAGGUAGGACUUCUACAACAUACCCUCCUUGUGCUGGCUUCUCUGGGUGGCGUGCAGGGCACCUAUGGACCUACAAGUGAAAACUUCCAUGUC